AGUGAAUAGAUACCCCGGUAGUCCCAGCUGUAAACGAUGCGCGUUAGGUGUAUCGGUGACCACGAGUCACCGAGGUGCCGAAAGAGAAAUCGUGAAACGUGCCGCCUGGGAAGUACGGUCGCAAGGCUGAAACUUAAAGGAAUUGGCGGGGGAGCACCACAACAGGUGGAGCCUGCGGUUUAAUCGGACUCAACGCCGGGAAGCUCACCGGAUAAGACAGCUGAAUGAUAGCCGGGUUGAAGACUCUGCUUGACUAGCUGAGAGGAGGUGCAUGGCCGUCGUCAGUUCGUACUGUGAAGCAUCCUGUUAAGUCAGGCAACGAGCGAGACCCACGCCAACAGUUGCCAGCAUGUCCUCCGGGAUGGUGGGGACACUGUUGGGACCGCCUCUGCUAAAGAGGAGGAAGGAAUGGGCAACGGUAGGUCAGCAUGCCCCGAAUUAUCCGGGCUACACGCGGGCUACAAUGGUCAGGACAAUGGGUAUCAACACCGAAAGGUGAAGGCAAUCUCCUAAACCUGUCC
Molecule: ribosomal RNA, 521 nt
Filed under: uncultured bacterium
Lineage: Bacteria
Description: bacterial SSU rRNA
Rfam family: Archaeal small subunit ribosomal RNA
Source: RNAcentral